This 354-nucleotide unclassified non-coding RNA is filed under the name soil metagenome. RNAcentral describes it as "partial contains 5.8S ribosomal RNA, internal transcribed spacer 2, and large subunit ribosomal RNA". The stretch from base 1 to 120 matches the Rfam family "5.8S ribosomal RNA", at positions 35 to 154 of the family's 154-position model. The record is from RNAcentral.
GAUGAAGAACGUAGCGAAAUGCGAUAAGUAAUGCGAAUUGCAGAAUUCAGUGAAUCAUCGAAUCUUUGAACGCACAUUGCGCCCGCUAGUAUUCUGGCGGGCAUGCCUGUCUGAGCGUCAUUUCAACCCUCGCCCCCGGCUUUUGCUGGGAGCGGUGUUGGGGAUCGGCCGCCCGUCACUGGGAGGCCGGCCCCGAAAUAGAGUGGCGACCACGCCGUGUGCUCCUCUGCGUAGUAGUAAAUCACCUCGCAGGCGGACAGCGGUGCGGCCUGCCGUAAAACCCCCAACUCUUUCUGGUUGACCUCAGAUCAGGUAGGAAUACCCGCUGAACUUAAGCAUAUAAUAAGCGGAGGA